GACGAACGCUGGCGGCGCGCUUAACACAUGCAAGUCGAGCGGUAAGGCUCCUUCGGGAGUACACGAGCGGCGCACGGGUGAGUAACACGUGAGUAAUCUGCCCUUCACUUCGGGAUAACCACCGGAAACGGUGGCUAAUACCGAAUACGACCAGUCUUCGCAUGAGGUGCUGGUGGAAAGUCUUUUCGGUGAAGGAUGUGCUCGCGGCCUAUCAGCUUGUUGGUGGGGUAAUGGCCUACCAAGGCUUCGACGGGUAGCCGGCCUGAGAGGGUGACCGGCCACACUGGGACUGAGACACGGCCCAGACUCCUACGGGAGGCAGCAGUGGGGAAUAUUGGACAAUGGGCGAAAGCCUGAUCCAGCAACGCCGCGUGAGGGAUGACGGCCUUCGGGUUGUAAACCUCUUUCAGUACCGACGAAGCGCCCUGUCGGGUGGUGACGGUAGGUACAGAAGAAGGACCGGCCAACUACGUG
This 474-nucleotide ribosomal RNA is filed under the name uncultured bacterium. Its description in RNAcentral is "partial 16S ribosomal RNA". It matches the Rfam family "Bacterial small subunit ribosomal RNA", at positions 28 to 507 of the family's 1533-position model. The record is from RNAcentral.